AGCGAACGCUGGCGGCAGGCUUAACACAUGCAAGUCGAGCGGGCCUUUCGGGGUCAGCGGCGGACGGGUGAGUAACGCGUGGGAACGUGCCCUCUGGUUCGGAAUAACUCAGGGAAACUUGAGCUAAUACAGGAUACGCCCUUUUGGGGAAAGGCUUGCUGCCGGAGGAUCGGCCCGCGUCUGAUUAGCUAGUUGGUGAGGUAACGGCUCACCAAGGCGACGAUCAGUAGCUGGUCUGAGAGGAUGAUCAGCCACACUGGGACUGAGACACGGCCCAGACUCCUACGGGAGGCAGCAGUGGGGAAUAUUGUACAAUGGGCGCAAGCCUGAUCCAGCCAUGCCGCGUGAGUGAUGAAGGCCUUAGGGUUGUAAAGCUCUUUUAUCCGGGACGAUAAUGACGGUACCGGAGGAAUAAGCCCCGGCUAACUUCGUG
Molecule: ribosomal RNA, 433 nt
Filed under: uncultured bacterium
Lineage: Bacteria
Description: partial 16S ribosomal RNA
Rfam family: Bacterial small subunit ribosomal RNA
Source: RNAcentral